UACGGAGGGUGCGAGCGUUGUCCGGAAUCAUUGGGCGUAAAGGGCGCGUAGGUGGCCCGGUCAGUCAGUGGUGAAAGCGCGGGGCUCAACCCCGCGUCGGCCAUUGAUACUGCCGCGGCUCGAGCACUGUAGAGGCAGGCGGAAUUCCGGGUGUAGCGGUGGAAUGCGUAGAGAUCCGGAAGAACACCGGUGGCGAAGGCGGCCUGCUGGGCAGUUUAGCUGACACUGAGGCGCGACAGCGUGGGGAGCAAACAGG
This 256-nucleotide ribosomal RNA is filed under the name uncultured bacterium. RNAcentral's name for it is "partial 16S ribosomal RNA". It matches the Rfam family "Bacterial small subunit ribosomal RNA", at positions 524 to 776 of the family's 1533-position model. The record is from RNAcentral.